CCAGCAGCUGCGGUAAUUCCGGCUCUAAUAGCGUAUAUUAAAGUUGUUGCAGUUAAAAAGCUCGUAGUCGGAUGUCGGGCUCGGGCAGGCUGUCGGCUUCGGUCGGACGGCAGGCUCGGGUCUUUCUGCCUGAGGAACCCGUGGCACUUAACUGUGCGGCGUGGGGAUUAGGCCGUUUACUUUGAAAAAAUUAGAGUGUUCAAAGCAGGCCAACGCUUGAAUACAUUAGCAUGGAAUAAUGGAAUAGGACUUUGGUGCUAUUUCGUUGGUUUAUGGGACCGAAGUAAUGAUUAAUAGGGACAGUUGGGGCCGUUUAUAUUCCGUUGUCAGAGGUGAAAUUCUUGGAUUUACGGAAGAUAAACUUCUGCGAAAGCAUUCGGCAAGGAUGUUUUCAUUGAUCAAGAACGAAAAU
RNAcentral lists this ribosomal RNA (412 nucleotides) under uncultured eukaryote. RNAcentral's name for it is "SSU rRNA". It matches the Rfam family "Eukaryotic small subunit ribosomal RNA", at positions 567 to 990 of the family's 1831-position model. The record is from RNAcentral.